RNAcentral lists this ribosomal RNA (266 nucleotides) under uncultured Eubacteriales bacterium. Its description in RNAcentral is "uncultured Clostridiales bacterium partial 16S ribosomal RNA". It matches the Rfam family "Bacterial small subunit ribosomal RNA", at positions 73 to 339 of the family's 1533-position model. Lineage: Bacteria; Bacillati; Bacillota; Clostridia; Eubacteriales. The record is from RNAcentral.
UGCUUGCACUUUGGCAGACUGAGUGGCGGACGGGUGAGUAACGCGUGGGUAACCUGCCCUGUACAGGGGGAUAACAGUUAGAAAUGACUGCUAAUACCGCAUAAGCGCACAGCUUCGCAUGAAGCAGUGUGAAAAACUCCGGUGGUACAAGAUGGACCCGCGUCUGAUUAGCUGGUUGGUGAGGUAACGGCCCACCAAGGCGACGAUCAGUAGCCGGCCUGAGAGGGUGAACGGCCACAUUGGGACUGAGACACGGCCCAAACUCC